This 119-nucleotide ribosomal RNA is filed under the name Cebus imitator (Panamanian white-faced capuchin). The record is from RNAcentral. Lineage: Eukaryota; Metazoa; Chordata; Mammalia; Primates; Cebidae.
AUCUACUGCCAUAUCACCCGGAACAUGAACACAGCUGAUCUCAUCUCAUCUUGGAAGCUAAGCAGGGUCAGGCCUGCUUAGUACUUGGAUGACAGAGGGACAGCUGGACUUCGGAGGAG